RNAcentral lists this ribosomal RNA (1383 nucleotides) under Lacticaseibacillus rhamnosus. RNAcentral describes it as "bacterial SSU rRNA". It matches the Rfam family "Bacterial small subunit ribosomal RNA", at positions 59 to 1417 of the family's 1533-position model. The record is from RNAcentral. Lineage: Bacteria; Bacillati; Bacillota; Bacilli; Lactobacillales; Lactobacillaceae.
AGUUCGGAUUAUUGAAAGGUGCUUGCAUCUUGAUUUAAUUUUGAACGAGUGGCGGACGGGUGAGUAACACGUGGGUAACCUGCCCUUAAGUGGGGGAUAACAUUUGGAAACAGAUGCUAAUACCGCAUAAAUCCAAGAACCGCAUGGUUCUUGGCUGAAAGAUGGCGUAAGCUAUCGCUUUUGGAUGGACCCGCGGCGUAUUAGCUAGUUGGUGAGGUAACGGCUCACCAAGGCAAUGAUACGUAGCCGAACUGAGAGGUUGAUCGGCCACAUUGGGACUGAGACACGGCCCAAACUCCUACGGGAGGCAGCAGUAGGGAAUCUUCCACAAUGGACGCAAGUCUGAUGGAGCAACGCCGCGUGAGUGAAGAAGGCUUUCGGGUCGUAAAACUCUGUUGUUGGAGAAGAAUGGUCGGCAGAGUAACUGUUGUCGGCGUGACGGUAUCCAACCAGAAAGCCACGGCUAACUACGUGCCAGCAGCCGCGGUAAUACGUAGGUGGCAAGCGUUAUCCGGAUUUAUUGGGCGUAAAGCGAGCGCAGGCGGUUUUUUAAGUCUGAUGUGAAAGCCCUCGGCUUAACCGAGGAAGUGCAUCGGAAACUGGGAAACUUGAGUGCAGAAGAGGACAGUGGAACUCCAUGUGUAGCGGUGAAAUGCGUAGAUAUAUGGAAGAACACCAGUGGCGAAGGCGGCUGUCUGGUCUGUAACUGACGCUGAGGCUCGAAAGCAUGGGUAGCGAACAGGAUUAGAUACCCUGGUAGUCCAUGCCGUAAACGAUGAAUGCUAGGUGUUGGAGGGUUUCCGCCCUUCAGUGCCGCAGCUAACGCAUUAAGCAUUCCGCCUGGGGAGUACGACCGCAAGGUUGAAACUCAAAGGAAUUGACGGGGGCCCGCACAAGCGGUGGAGCAUGUGGUUUAAUUCGAAGCAACGCGAAGAACCUUACCAGGUCUUGACAUCUUUUGAUCACCUGAGAGAUCAGGUUUCCCCUUCGGGGGCAAAAUGACAGGUGGUGCAUGGUUGUCGUCAGCUCGUGUCGUGAGAUGUUGGGUUAAGUCCCGCAACGAGCGCAACCCUUAUGACUAGUUGCCAGCAUUUAGUUGGGCACUCUAGUAAGACUGCCGGUGACAAACCGGAGGAAGGUGGGGAUGACGUCAAAUCAUCAUGCCCCUUAUGACCUGGGCUACACACGUGCUACAAUGGAUGGUACAACGAGUUGCGAGACCGCGAGGUCAAGCUAAUCUCUUAAAGCCAUUCUCAGUUCGGACUGUAGGCUGCAACUCGCCUACACGAAGUCGGAAUCGCUAGUAAUCGCGGAUCAGCACGCCGCGGUGAAUACGUUCCCGGGCCUUGUACACACCGCCCGUCACACCAUGAGAGUUUGUAA